GUGGAUUAGAUACCCUAGUAGUCCAUGCCGUAAACGAUGUCUACUAGCCGUUGGGGCCUUUGAGGCUUUAGUGGCGCAGCUAACGCGAUAAGUAGACCGCCUGGGGAGUACGGUCGCAAGACUAAAACUCAAAUGAAUUGACGGGGGCCCGCACAAGCGGUGGAGCAUGUGGUUUAAUUCGAUGCAACGCGAAGAACCUUACCUGGUCUUGACAUAGUAAGAACUUUCCAGAGAUGGAUUGGUGCCUUCGGGAGCUUACAUACAGGUGCUGCACGGUCGUCGCCAACU
Molecule: ribosomal RNA, 288 nt
Filed under: uncultured bacterium
Lineage: Bacteria
Description: partial 16S ribosomal RNA
Rfam family: Bacterial small subunit ribosomal RNA
Source: RNAcentral